UACGUAGGGUGCAAGCGUUGUCCGGCAUUAUUGGGCGUAAAGAGCUUGUAGGCGGUUUGUCGCGUCUGCUGUGAAAUUUCGGGGCUCAACCCCGAACUUGCAGUGGGUACGGGCAGACUAGAGUGUGGUAGGGGAGACUGGAAUUCCUGGUGUAGCGGUGAAAUGCGCAGAUAUCAGGAGGAACACCGGUGGCGAAGGCGGGUCUCUGGGCCGAUACUGACGCUGAGGAGCGAAAGCGUGGGGAGCGAACAGG
This 253-nucleotide ribosomal RNA is filed under the name uncultured bacterium. Its description in RNAcentral is "partial 16S ribosomal RNA". It matches the Rfam family "Bacterial small subunit ribosomal RNA", at positions 524 to 776 of the family's 1533-position model. The record is from RNAcentral.